Molecule: unclassified non-coding RNA, 1219 nt
Filed under: Hevea brasiliensis (rubber tree)
Lineage: Eukaryota; Viridiplantae; Streptophyta; Magnoliopsida; Malpighiales; Euphorbiaceae
Source: RNAcentral
GUACUAUGACAUUUCUGGCUGUUAUAUCUUAAGGCCAUGGGCAAUGUCCAUCUGGGAGAUAUUGCAGACCUUUUUCGAUGCUGAAAUUAAGAAGAUGAAGAUAAAAAACUCCUACUUCCCUCUCUUUGUGUCCCCUGCUGUUCUACAAAAGGAAAAGGACCACAUAGAGGGAUUUGCCCCUGAGGUUGCUUGGGUUACAAAAUCUGGAGACUCUGAUCUGGAGGUGCCCAUUGCGAUUCGACCAACAAGUGAAACUGUGAUGUAUCCUUAUUUCUCGAAGUGGAUUAGGGGACAUCGUGACUUGCCCUUGAGACUUAACCAGUGGUGCAACGUUGUGCGAUGGGAGUUUAGCAACCCCACCCCAUUCAUUAGGAGCCGUGAAUUUCUCUGGCAAGAAGGUCACACUGCUUUUGCAACUAAGGAGGAGGCAGAUGAAGAGGUUCUUGACAUCUUGGAGUUGUAUAGACGUAUAUAUGAGGAAUUCUUAGCUGUUCCAGUAAGUAAGGGAAAGAAAAGUGAGCUUGAGAAGUUCGCUGGAGGACUCUACACGACUACAGUAGAGGCUUUUAUCCCUAAUACUGGCCGUGGUAUCCAAGGUGCAACUUCACACUGUUUGGGCCAAAAUUUCGCAAAGAUGUUUGAGAUAAAUUUUGAAAAUGAGAAGGGAGAAAAGGCUAUGGUCUGGCAGAACUCCUGGGCCUAUACUACCAGAACGAUUGGUGUGAUGAUCAUGACUCAUGGAGAUGAUAAAGGCCUGGUCUUACCUCCUAAAGUUGCAACAACUCAAGUAGUUGUUAUCCCUGUGCCAUACAAGGAUGCUAAUACUCAAGGAAUCUAUGAUGCCUGUGCUGCCACUGUUAAAAGCUUGAAUGAAUCUGGUAUUCGUGCUGAGGCUGACUUCAGAGACAACUACUCGCCUGGCUGGAAAUAUUCUCACUGGGAAAUGAAGGGGGUCCCUCUUAGGAUUGAAAUAGGACCAAAAGAUCUUGCAAAUAACCAGGUACGAGCUGUUCGCCGUGACAAUGGAGCCAAAACUGAUAUUCCUGUGGCAAACUUAGUCGAACAAGUAAAAGAUGUGCUCGAUUCUAUCCAACAAAAUCUAUUUGAAACUGCAAAACAAAAACGGGAAGCUUGUGUUCAGGUUGUAAAGACCUGGGAGGAAUUUGCAGAAGCAUUGGGCCAAAAGAAAUUGAUAUUGGCUCCUUGGUGUGAUGAGGAG